This 157-nucleotide ribosomal RNA is filed under the name Usnea fragilescens. Its description in RNAcentral is "5.8S ribosomal RNA". It matches the Rfam family "5.8S ribosomal RNA". Rfam says of the family: 5.8S ribosomal RNA (5.8S rRNA) is a component of the large subunit of the eukaryotic ribosome. Lineage: Eukaryota; Fungi; Ascomycota; Lecanoromycetes; Lecanorales; Parmeliaceae. The record is from RNAcentral.
AACUUUCAACAACGGAUCUCUUGGUUCCAGCAUCGAUGAAGAACGCAGCGAAAUGCGAUAAGUAAUGUGAAUUGCAGAAUUCAGUGAACCAUCGAAUCUUUGAACGCACAUUGCGCCCCUCGGUAUUCCGGGGGGCAUGCCUGUUCGAGCGUCAUUA